RNAcentral lists this ribosomal RNA (301 nucleotides) under uncultured bacterium. RNAcentral's name for it is "partial 16S ribosomal RNA". It matches the Rfam family "Bacterial small subunit ribosomal RNA", at positions 509 to 809 of the family's 1533-position model. The record is from RNAcentral.
CAGUCGCCACGGUAAAACGAAGGGUGCAAGCGUUAAUCGGAAUUACUGGGCGUAAAGCGUGCGUAGGCGGUGAGUUAAGUCUGCUGUGAAAUCCUGGAGCUCAACUCCAGAACUGCCUUUGAUACUGUCGAUCUCGAGUCCGGAAGAGGUGAGUGGAACUCCUAGUGUAGAGGUGGAAUUCGUAGAUAUUAGGAAGAACACCAGUGGCGAAGGCGGCUCACUGGUCCGGUACUGACGCUGAGGUGCGAAAGCGUGGGGAGCAAACAGGAUUAGAUACCCCAGUAGUCCCUGUCUCUUAUAA